AUUGAACGCUGGCGGAAUGCUUUACACAUGCAAGUCGAGCGGCAGCGCGGGGGCAACCCUGGCGGCGAGCGGCGAACGGGUGAGUAACAUAUCGGAACGUACCCCGUCGUGGGGGAUAACACAGCGAAAGCUGUGCUAAUACCGCAUACGACCUGAGGGUGAAAGCGGGGGAUCGCAAGACCUCGCGCGAUGGGAGCGGCCGAUAUCGGAUUAGCUUGUUGGUGAGGUAAAGGCUCACCAAGGCGACGAUCCGUAGCUGGUCUGAGAGGACGACUAGCCACACUGGAACUGAGACACGGUCCAGACUCCUACGGGAGGCAGCAGUGGGGAAUUUUGGACAAUGGGGGGCAACCCUGAUCCAGCCAUUCCGCGUGAGUGAAGAAGGCCUCGGUUGUAAAGCUCUUUCUAGCAGGAACGAAACGGU
RNAcentral lists this ribosomal RNA (424 nucleotides) under uncultured bacterium. Its description in RNAcentral is "bacterial SSU rRNA". It matches the Rfam family "Bacterial small subunit ribosomal RNA", at positions 29 to 455 of the family's 1533-position model. The record is from RNAcentral.